UCUCCGUUGGUGAACCAGCGGAGGGAUCAUUACCGAGUUUACAACUCCCAAACCCAAUGUGAACGUUACCAAACUGUUGCCUCGGCGGGGUCACGCCCCGGGUGCGUCGCAGCCCCGAAACCAGGCGCCUGCCGGAGGAACCAACCAAACUCUUUCUGUAGUCCCCUCGCGGACGUUAUUUCUUACAGCUCUGAGCAAAAAUUCAAAAUGAAUCAAAACUUUCAACAACGGAUCUCUUGGUUCUG
RNAcentral lists this unclassified non-coding RNA (245 nucleotides) under plant metagenome. RNAcentral describes it as "partial contains small subunit ribosomal RNA, internal transcribed spacer 1, and 5.8S ribosomal RNA". The record is from RNAcentral.